GGACGAACGCUGGCGGCGUGCUUAACACAUGCAAGUCGAACGGAAAGGCCCUGCUUUUGUGGGGUGCUCGAGUGGCGAACGGGUGAGUAACACGUGAGUAACCUGCCCUUGACUUUGGGAUAACUUCAGGAAACUGGGGCUAAUACCGGAUAGGAGCUCCUGCUGCAUGGUGGGGGUUGGAAAGUUUCGGCGGUUGGGGAUGGACUCGCGGCUUAUCAGCUUGUUGGUGGGGUAGAGGCUUACCAAGGCUUUGACGGGUAGCCGGCCUGAGAGGGUGACCGGCCACAUUGGGACUGAGAUACGGCCCAGACUCCUACGGGAGGCAGCAGUGGGGAAUAUUGCACAAUGGGCGGAAGCCUGAUGCAGCAACGCCGCGUGCGGGAUGACGGCCUUCGGGUUGUAAACCGCUUUCGCCUGUGACGAAGCGUGAGUGACGGUAAUGGGUAAAGAAGCACCGGCUAACUACGUG
Molecule: ribosomal RNA, 469 nt
Filed under: uncultured bacterium
Lineage: Bacteria
Description: partial 16S ribosomal RNA
Rfam family: Bacterial small subunit ribosomal RNA
Source: RNAcentral